GCCGGCACGGGCGGCCGAGGGCGCUGCUCUUCUCCCGGGUCCUCUGAGUCUGCAGCUAGCUGCGAUUACAGAUAGGGCUUAGCCCCAGUGGCGAGCGGUCAGGGGCGCUUGCCCCUCCUCACCCCCUGCGGACCCAAUCAGAACUGAAUCGUGCCUCCUAUUGCCGACCUCCUCCCGGAGAAGGGGCCAAACCCCAGCGUCUCGCAGUGCGCUCAGACCACCGCCGGCACUUCCGGGAAGGGAGGCGCCGCGGGGCUCAGCGCGUGCGCACUCCGCGGCCACCGCCUCCCUCCGGCUCGGCCGCGCGCGGUUUCCCGCCUCGCGGCGCCCUCGCGGGGUCUGGGGAGGGUCGUCUAGGGGCUGCUGGUGUCUGGAUCGCCAUUCUGGUGUUUUAAGGGGAUCGUUCUGAGAAGAUGUUGCCGUGACUAAUGUAGUUGACACCACCGGACACCAGUUUACGCUGCAUUAUCUCCAGCUUGCACGAAUUCUAGGCUAAUAAGAAAGAGCAGCUUCACGUGUGUACUGAGCACUGUGUAUAAAGAACUGUCUUCACAUCCUGUGGGUUGCUAUGGGAUCAGCCUCCAGUGCCAGAGCUUCGUUGGUUAUGUGGUGAUUCCUAAACCAGCUUCCAGCUUCUGAAUCCAGCCUGGUCCAAUUCACAUAUUCCUUCAAGGCAGGCUGGCAAGUUCCACUCCUGUACUCUGGACUUGACCUUUCCCUUCAUCCUCUUACACCUCCCCCGGCCAUCCCUACUUAGCACUUGGAGCAUCUCCAGCGCAAGUUUGAGGAAUUUGCAAAACACACAACUGGACAAAGUGCCCUCACCUACUGCAGCCAUUUUGGCCUUUCCCAGAGAUAUCCUGGCCAUAAAAGAGCUGUCCAUAGGCCUUUCCUUCUAACUAGUAAUUGCACGUGGUGAAUAUGUCUAUUCCAAAGCUCCGAUUUGUGUGGCACCUGUUCAAAUAUAGUCUCUUGGGCUCCACCCCUUUGUGAUUUCCUAGAUCCGGGCAAGACCUAGGAAUCUUUACCAAGCUCCACAAGUGACUGAAUCCAUUACAUGGUCCAGCACCACUCUUUGAGAAAUACUGCCCUAAGGAAAUUACUUUAAAACGGAUCUAUUUGCAUGAGGUGUUCUCAUAAAACUAUUUAGGACAGAAAAAAAAAAGUUGUCAAGUCCCCAUACCCACUGUGGGUAUUGCUUCAAUGAAGCAAUGAUAUUUCACCAUUAAAUCUAAAAGAUUAAAAAAAACCCCAAAACCUGAAAGAUUGGAGAACCACAGCCUGAAGUAUUAGACCUUGAAUUACCUUAAAAUCAUCUAGUUCACUGCCUGAGUGCCUUGCUCAUUCUCACAAAUGUAUAAGUAACUUUGUCAUGGAUAUGUUUAUGAAUUUUAUACUUUUAAUGCUUUCUACAUUUUUUUCAAUUAGUAUAUAUUUAUUAUAUAAUUAGACAAAGAAACUUAUAAAUACGUAUCUGGUCCCCCAAAUAGAUGGAGAGGAGAGGGAGUUGGGGGAAAUUGGAGGGGGAGAUGAACCAUGAGACACCGUGGACUCUGAAAAACAGUCUGAGGGUUUUGGAGGGGCAUGGGGGUAGGAGGUUGGGUGAGCCUGGUGGUGGGUAUCAGGAAGGGCACAUAUUGCAUGGAGCACUGGGUGUGGAGCAUAAACAAUGAAUUCUGGAAUACUGAAAAGAAAUUUUAAAAAUAAAUAAAAAUUUUUUAAAAUCUGCAUAAACAUUAGAAAAAGUGAAAUCCAUACGUAACUGUACUGUUUAUUGUGCGUGCAUUUUUUUUUUUUCAAUAAAGGCUGAUUCUUUCUACAUCUAA
Mustela lutreola (European mink) is the source of this 1826-nucleotide long non-coding RNA. RefSeq lists it as uncharacterized. The transcript is spliced from 2 exons. The record is from RefSeq and is a predicted model, not a curated record. Lineage: Eukaryota; Metazoa; Chordata; Mammalia; Carnivora; Mustelidae.